UUUUUUUUUUGUGUAUUGUAUAUCCUGUUCUUUAACCCCAAAGCUGCAGCAAAUUGUAUACUUGUAUACAUUUUAUUAACUUGUCUCAAAUACCCACAAAUAUUAAAAUAAAAGCUUAAAAUUGAUAAAUAGGGAAAUCCAAUUUUACUAGUACACAAAAACAAUGUAUAGUGGUUUUUCUCCAUUUUAAUAUAAAUUACACAAUUUAGGCAACGGUCAUUGCAUUUUAAAAAUCUUUAGUAUUGACUGAUCUUUUUUUAGGCUUUGCCAGAUUUAAAGGGGUGCUGGGGAAAUUGUAACCUUGUGUUUUGGGAUAUGUUUGUUUUACUUGUGGGAUUAUUUUUUAUUUUUAUUGUUUGUUUUAAUAUCUAAUUUUUUUAAAUUUUUUUUUUUAAAUCUAUAAGUAUAUUACCUGUAUUUCAAAGUUAGACUAUUGCUCUGCUGUGUAUUUUAGUCUUUUUAAGCCAGUAUUUAGUAGAAGUCAGAUUGGUUGCAACAUACUACAGACAUUUUAAUUUUAUUUUUUAAUAGAAUGUGUCAGUUUUUGCAUCUUCCAACUGCUAAAUUGCUUAAUGGUCCGUUUCAACAAAGUUCAUUUUUGUUUAUUUUGCAAAAUAUGUCUGGGCUAGACCUAUAUUAAUUAUUAUUAUUUUUUUAUAUACAUUAAGCAUAAAAUUUGGCAUGGGUGAUAUGCUGUGGUCAUGUGUUUUAGCUAAAACUGAAUUAAAGUAACAGUAAAUAUCUUUAUGAAAGCUGCAGACAAAUAUUUGACAUCUUACUUUUCUAUGUUGUUAGUGAAACAAACAUGAUCUGACCUCAUAGGCCUCCUGAAUAUAUUAAUAUAGAUUUUUUUUUUUAUUAUUAUUAUUAUUUUUUUUUUUUUUUAAUAAGCUAUAGAAUUUUGCCUUUGUGUUGAUAAAGAGGGGAGCAAAUUCAAGUGUACAGGAUUCUAAUUUAGGACUUCCUAUCACUUUAAGGGUGUUAGAACUUGGUUCUAAACAUACUUUUUCUAUAGAAGUGUAAUGAACAACUUAACUAAGCCAUAUAAACUACAGACCUAAAUAUCUGCCAUAACAUAUUGGAUCUCCUUGGUCACCAUUCUCAUUCUGCAUUUCUGACCUUGAAUAUGUCAUUAUGAAAAACAUCAUAACAUUUUAUUCCCAUCAUAAUUUUAGAUUUAUUUUGGGAUGGGAGGUGAGAAAUAUGUCUACACUAUUUAAAACUAAUUCUUUUCCAAUUAAUCUUUUUUUUUUUUUUUUUGCCUAUAUCAGCUGCUUAAUUAUUGGCCAAACUAUCAGAUAAAAUAUAUUGUAUAGACCCAUCGCACACAAACCUGUGAUUGCUUGUGUGAAUCAAGUGAAAUGUGUUGUGCUAGUGAAUUCACCAGCAGAUUACUUUACACACAGAUCUGUUUAUAUCUGCUGUUUACUACUGCCAAAUGUGUACUCAUCAACAGGGUGGCCCAAAUGGUAAGACCUCAAAUGUUGUUGUAGUUCUAAAACCCGAGGAUCUUCAUUUUGUGCACCCCUGAUUUAUAAUCUAUUUUAAUGAUCACUUGGGGUGGAAUUUAAAAUAUUGGCAUAUUACAGUUAAAAAAACAAAAAAAAAACAUAACCAGCACUUAUGGGAAAAAAAUCUAAUUUUAAUACAAAAUGAUGUAUAAAUUGGGAGAUUUAUUUUUAGCUCACUACUGCAUGAACCUACCUGCUUUGUUUGUGAUAUUUUUCACAUUACCUCAGCUGUAAUCUGCUUUAAAUCAAGAAGGCUUAUUCCAUAUUUAUUUUACAGAUCUAUUUUUUUUUGGUUUCUGAUCUACAGACCCUGUAUAUAAUAUUACAGUAAUUAUACACUUAUAGCAAGUCAACAUUUAUCUGACGUUCCUUUACUUGUGGGUUUUAUCCCUAAAACGUGAGAUGAGUCAAAAAGCUUUUUUUUAAUCCUGAAUAAUCGUGGAAAUUUCACACUAAUCUCAUCUGUAUUUGGUGCAUAAACUCCUUUUUGGAUGUGACAGAUAAUUAAACCGGAGUAACUGAAAUAUUUUUAUAACCGUUUUAAUGAACAUAUUUGUUUAUAAGGCAACUGCAUCACCUGUAAUUAUAACACAUGUUACCGGUGGAACAUCAUUUCAAAACCUUUCCAGUCCAAUAAUAAUUAGUAGGAUAUGUGUAGUAUAAGGACAUUUUUAUUCUGAAUACAGAAGAUGCACUGUGCGGACAACCAUUGUUGGGCAUAUACUAGAUGAUCCCUCAGUUGUUUUUUUGAGGGUGAAAGGGGUAUUUUUCAUGAUAGAUAUUUUUCAUUUCUGUUAAAUGUCUCCCACCACAUUAUUUUUUUUUAAUAUAAAUGAAAACCAGGUUAAAGCCUAUAUUCCAGCCCCUCCUAUUUAACAAACUCUAUUUGAUGUUUUCUUUUGUUCAACUCUGCUCAAAGAAAUGUGUGCCACCAGAUUUUGUCACCCCAGUACAACUCUAUCGAUAAUAUCCUACACUAUAAUAGGCACAGCCUUUGUAUGCAUCCCCUGUCCUUAUUUAAGAACAUGUUGGCUAUUGGGUAAUGUCAGUAAAUUAAGGCAUUCAAAAAAGGAAUACAUUUGUAAAGAAUUUUUUAAUUUUUUUUUUAUUCCCUUCUGAAUUUAGUCUCUCCCCCUUGUGAUUUAAUAACACAUCUUGUAUCAGACGAUCUUUAAAAUCUAUGAAAGAAUGCCACUUUAGAAAGGGGGAUUUUUAAAAUUGUAAUGCAGAACAUGUCCAAAAAAUUGAGCCUUUAAUAAUGGGUAAAAAAAUAUAUAUAUUUUGUUUUUAUAUAUACUUCAAAAUGCAGUGUACAUGGUUGAAGAAAAAUCCUUUAGCGGACUCAAUAUAGCACUAAAUAGAACCAUUUAUAUUAAGGGACAUUAAGUUGUAAAUGUGUAGAAUUGUCACAAAGGCAGUUUUUAUACUGGUGUAUAUUGUGCACAUUAUUUUCUUUUCCUUUUUCAUAUUUCUUCUCCUAAAAUUUACACCACACUAGUCUUUAAGAGACGUUUAGCCUUUUUGGUUUUCUGGGGGUUUUUUUUGUUUGUUUUUUUGUUUUUGUUUUUUUUAUUUCUCUGCCAAUUAGGGCUGCUACAAUCGGGAAGAAGAAAAAAAUAAAGCAAUUAACAAAAAUGUAUCUAGCCCCUCUGUAAAAUGUCAGUUGAGAUCAUGCUAUAAAAUGCAUAACUUUAUUUUUUACAAUGUUUCUUUUAUCUCUGAUGUGCAUGCAAGUUUACUGUAACUUUUUCUCAAGAUUUUUAGUGCUGUCCAUAGUAUAUUACUGUAUAUGUCAGUUAUAUUGAUAACAAGUCAAUGUAAGUAGUUAGCUUGUUUAUUGCAAUGCUGGCCUCAACACAACAUUAUGAAAAGAGAAAAAAAAAAUCUUAAAGGUAGAAAGUACUUGUUGUUCUGAUAAUUAUUAGCCUUAAAGGGCAUUUUUGGUUUUUUUCAUAAUAAACAAGUGGAAAAAA
Molecule: non-coding RNA, 3484 nt
Organism: Pelobates cultripes (western spadefoot toad)
Lineage: Eukaryota; Metazoa; Chordata; Amphibia; Anura; Pelobatidae
Source: the annotation of a GenBank genome assembly